CACCUGGGCUGAGUCAGUGCACCCGAACAUGGGCAGCUUCCACAUGGUCCAGUACCUUCCGUCGUAGUAUCCUGGCGAUCUGUUGUGCUCUCUGUGGGGGUAUGGGUACUGCAUUCACAUACAAAAUAAUAAUCCAAUUAUUCUACAAAUUAAACCUCUAUAAUCCUAGUUUAAAAGCUUCACAGAAAAGUUCAUGAAAAUAACCAGCUUGGUGAAUUCCAAGCAAGGAAUCCAUUUCAUGCGGAGAAGGUAAUCCACUUCCUUGCAUAGCUGUUCGUCGUUGAGGGGUGGGAGGUAUGAGAGAGUCUCGAACUUCAUCAACCCUUCUGUAGGCCAAACCUGUGGUUUUCACAUGUACAAUAUCCACAGUUUAAUUCAUCAUAUAUAAAAAAAUAAAAAAUAAAAAAAACCCAGACUACUAAUGUCUUCUAAUUGAAGUGAAGUUGUGACUUGUGAGGCAGGGUGGUGGCAGUACCUUCAUGCAGCGAACUCGGCCACCAUUGCUAGCGACGGAGGUGAUGUCGGUGUUGGCUUUUCGGGUGCCAGGGAAAGUCGACAAAGAUUUGAGUCCGGUGAAGGGGGCCACCAUGUUGGCCUGAGCCGGGGUAGCACGGUUGAUUGUAGCCACGGUGGCGGAGGAGACCAUGGAGGAAGCCAUUUUCGCCUUUUGGGUUUUGCUAACACCACCACUGCCUUGUGAGUUAUGGCUCCUGCUUACCCCAUCCUAUAUAUAAUCCUCCGAGCUUUACUCUCUUCUCUAACUGGCCUCACAUUUGCAUCCAAGGGCUGAGGGUCGAGGGGUCUGGGGUUGGAGGCCUUUGGGCCGUUGGAUGAUACCAGGGGAUGACAUGAAAAUUUCGAUGGCCACAUAUCAGAAUUGGAUGGGUGCCUUAUCGUUAUGGCACCCCUCUCGGAGUGUCGACACGUGUCGACACCUCAUUAACCUUAUCUAACGUUGUGAAGAAGGUGAUUGUGUGAUGUUUUCUGGCCCUUCGUUUCUGGGGUGACUGCCGCUCUUCGCCCAUGGAUAUUUGGAGUUUUGUUCAAUUACCUAAUUGCCCAUCUGGGAUUUUUUUUCAAAUAUUAUUUUUUUAUUAUUAUUAUCAUGUUUUUUUUAAGUGAUGCGAUGAGGUAUGGAGGUACCAUGAUAAGUAAUGGUGUGACUGCAAGCCAUCAGAUCAGAGGGUCCCCCACUUGGAAUAUUGCUCCAAUUCUACGACUAGGUGACUAACACUCAGCAGCCCUUUAAGCGGAGGAAGAAAUGUGACAGUUUCUAUAAGUGGAGGAAGUCUGAAUUCUGAAAGGCAUCGAUAAGGCCUUAAAACGUAUCUAUUGAAGGCAUAAAUCACUAUGUUCUCUUUUGGCUUACCCCAAAAAAAAACACACAUUCCCUGAUUCAUGUAUUCUUACUUCUCAAAGUCCUCAUUUUGGACUAUUUUACAGGCUUUCUUCCUAGAAUUUCAAAUUCAAAUUCAAAUUCAAAUUCAAGAUCAUAAAGAAGCCUCCACCACUCAAGGUUUAUCUUCUCUCCUAAAGGGAGAUGAUAUUUUGCCAUACAAAGGUUUCAGGACCUCCAAAAGAAAACGGUACUAAUUUUGUGUAAUUUCAGUAUGCUUAUGAGUUACGACUCAACUCAAGUCCCGGUUGGUGAGCAUCACUUCUAAAAAUGUAGUGUUGGGUCAAUUUGUUAGGUGGACCAUCACUUCUCCACAGAAACUUCUAGCUCUUCUCUGCACUUGUGGCCUCUAUUCUUUCAUAUAAGAUGUAAAUAUUCUCACUAAAUAAACCCAAAAGAAAAAAGAGAGAAAAAAGAUUGGUGGAGGUUGUUUUGGAGGAGGGAUCCCUGUGAUCCACAUGUAACAAUCAAGGUUUCCAUUCAAGUUGAUGGAUAGGCCUGUGUGCUAUAACAAAAUCUUGUGCAACUCCACCACAAAUUCUCCAAAUCAAAUCCCACUGUCAAGCCAAGCAACAUGCUCCAGAAAGCGAAUUCUGAAACCUUUUCUAGAUCAGUGACAACAGAUGUGUUUGUGUUUCUUGUUUCAAUGGAGAAGCCAAAGCCUCUUUAAGACGUAUUAGUGCUGUGACAGGAAAAAUAAACUCAUGUUUUGAUCUUGUAGAAGAGAUUGAAAAUGCAUGAUGUAUUGUUUAUAAUGCUGGUGUAAAUAAUGAAACUGUUAGAAAGGGAUUGUAGGGAAAUUGCUUGUGUUGAAGAUGAUCCUUUGAAAUCAUAGUUUCUGCCUUACCUUCAGCUUCAGGCUAAACCCACAGGCAAAAAUGGCAAGAGGAACCUUCUAACACUCAUUUUCUCCCAUCUGCAUUGGGAGGGUAAUACCAAAAACUAAUUUAUGCGGAUUAAGACUGAUUGCGAGAGGAAUAUGACAUUCAACAGGGAAUACAAAAAUCAUAAACUGAAAAGUUUGUUUAUUAAAUCCAAUUAAAUAUGACAUUGCCCACCACGAAAAGCAGUGGAAUACGAAGAAUGACUUCCAAUAGAGGAGCUUCUGUACAGUUAUAAGCAGGAAAAAAAGAAAGAAAAGAGAAAAGAAUUACAUGGAAGUAGUGAAGUACAAACUGCAUAACCAGGAAAAAAUAUGCAACUGACUUCCUUCUAAUUUACUGCCAUCGCCUAGGAGGCUUGGUGAAAGUAGAGCUUCCAGUGCCACUGAUAGUAGCACUUCUUCUCAUUCCUGAGAAGAGCAGUUACAGGGAAAGAUAAGAGAUUGAAGGAAUAUUAUUAGCAAGUAGCAAUUGAUCCCAAAAACUCUAAUAUUUUACAUACCUGUUGCCGCCUUUGGAGAAUCCUUAAGAUGUGAUGGUGGAGGAGAUGAAGUUCG
Molecule: long non-coding RNA, 2834 nt
Filed under: Vitis vinifera (wine grape)
Lineage: Eukaryota; Viridiplantae; Streptophyta; Magnoliopsida; Vitales; Vitaceae
Description: long non-coding RNA (VVIN_LNC005659)
Source: RNAcentral